CCUACGGGAGGCAGCAGUGGGGAAUAUUGGGCAAUGGGCGCAAGCCUGACCCAGCCACGCCGCGUGAAGGAAGAAGGCUCUCGGGUUGUUAACUUCUUUUGACACGGAAGAGUAGAAGACGGUACCUGUCGAAUAAGCCACGGCUAACUACGUGCCAGCAGCCGCGGUCAUACGUGGGUGGCAAGCGUUAUCCGGAUUUACUGGGUGUAAAGGGCGUGUAGCCGGGUUGACAAGUCAGAGGUGAAAUCCUGCGGCUUAACCGCAGAACUGCAGUUGAAACUGUUGAUCUUGAGUACUGGAGAGGCAGACGGAAUUCCUAGUGUAGCGGUGAAAUGUGUAGAGAUUAGGAGGAACACCAGUGGCGAAGGCAGUCUGCUGGACAGCAACUGACGGUGAGGCGCGAAAGCGUGGGGAGCGAACAGGAUUAGAUACCCGAGUAGUC
This 442-nucleotide ribosomal RNA is filed under the name uncultured bacterium. RNAcentral describes it as "partial 16S ribosomal RNA". It matches the Rfam family "Bacterial small subunit ribosomal RNA", at positions 338 to 795 of the family's 1533-position model. The record is from RNAcentral.